Molecule: transfer RNA, 74 nt
Filed under: Hypoxylon rubiginosum
Lineage: Eukaryota; Fungi; Ascomycota; Sordariomycetes; Xylariales; Hypoxylaceae
Description: tRNA-Asp
Source: RNAcentral
GCAUUAGUAGUUUGUUUAGUGGUAAAAUCCAUCGCUGUCAUCCGUGAGCCCGUGUUCGAUUCGCGGCUCAUGCA